Molecule: ribosomal RNA, 776 nt
Filed under: uncultured Neocallimastigales
Lineage: Eukaryota; Fungi; Neocallimastigomycota; Neocallimastigomycetes; Neocallimastigales
Description: partial large subunit ribosomal RNA
Rfam family: Eukaryotic large subunit ribosomal RNA
Source: RNAcentral
GUACACGCUGUGACUAGCAUAUCAAUAAGCGGAGGAAAAGAAACUAACAAGGAUUCCCCUAGUAACGGCGAGUGAAGCGGGAAGAGCUCAAAUUUGAAAUCUUAAAGGGUUCCCCUUUACGAAUUGUAGUUUAAAGAAGUGUUUUCUGUUGAGGUUUUGGUAAAAGUUCUUUGGAAUAGGACAUCAUAGAGGGUGAGAAUCCCGUAUUUGACCUUUACUUUCAACUUUGUGAUACACUUUCAAAGAGUCGGAUUGUUUGGGAAUGCAGUCCAAAAUGGGUGGUAAAUUUCAUCUAAAGCUAAAUAUUGGCGAGAGACCGAUAGCGAACAAGUACCGUGAGGGAAAGAUGAAAAGAACCUUUGAAAAGAGAGUUAGACAGUACGUGAAAUUGUCAAAAGGGAAGCGUUUGACACCAGUGUUGUUUUUCUGAAAAUCAGUUAAAGAACUGUUUAUGCUAAGCUGUUUAGACUUUAUCAGCUAAUCUGUUUAGUUUUGAGCUUUUCUUUAAUGCACUUUUCAGUUAACAAGUCAACAUCAAUCUCUUUUGCUGUAAAAAAGCUUGAGGAAGGUGGCUUGAGAUUCGUCUUAAGUGUUUAUAGCCUCUUGCCUAUGCAGUCGGAGAGAUUGAGGUCUGCAGCGUAGAUCCUUCGGGGCUAAAUGCAUUUGUGCUAAGUUAUAGCAUUUUAUAGACAACUUGUUGACUAUGAUUUGUCUUGUAGCUUACUCGCUUAUGUUAUUUUACCUACGCUUAGGAUGUUGACGCGCGUGUGUGCGUG